Molecule: ribosomal RNA, 340 nt
Filed under: uncultured Chloroflexota bacterium
Lineage: Bacteria; Bacillati; Chloroflexota
Description: bacterial SSU rRNA
Rfam family: Bacterial small subunit ribosomal RNA
Source: RNAcentral
UGGAGCUAACACAGGUGCUGCAUGGCUGUCGUCAGCUCGUGCCGUGAGGUGUAUGGUUAAGUCCCACAACGAGCGCAACCCUCGUCGCUAGUUAAUUCCCUAGCGAGACCGCCUCGCAAACGAGGAGGAAGGCGGGGAUGGCGUCAAGUCAGCAUGGCCUUUAUACCCUGGGCGACACACACGCUACAAUGGGUGGUACAGUAGGUAGCGAAGGAGCGAUCCGGAGCAAAUCCUUAAAACCAUCCUCAGUACGGAUUGCAGGCUGAAACCCGCCUGCAUGAAGCCGGAGUUGCUAGUAACCGCAUAUCAGCAUGGUGCGGUGAAUACGUUCUCGGGCCUU